AUAAAAUAAUUAACUAAUUAAGCAACAAAUAAGAGGUAAAGUAGGCAUAGGGGAUCUAGGGUUAAAGUCCCCAAUUGAAAACAAAAAGUAGUAUAUGCUAUUUAAUGGGGGAGUGGCCCAUGAUUAGAAAAGUGAAGUAUAACAAACAAUGU
Molecule: long non-coding RNA, 152 nt
Organism: Ipomoea nil (Japanese morning glory)
Lineage: Eukaryota; Viridiplantae; Streptophyta; Magnoliopsida; Solanales; Convolvulaceae
Exons: 3
Source: RefSeq, a predicted model, not a curated record